CCGCGGUAAUACGGAGGGGUGCGAGCGUUAAUCGGAAGUUACUGGGCGUAAAGACGCAUGCAGGCGGCCUGUUAAGUCAGAUGUGAAAGCCCGGGGCGUUAACCUCGGAAUUGUCAUUUGUAAACUAGGCAGGCUAGAGUCUUGUAGAGGGGGGGUAGGGAAUUUCAGGUGUAGCGGUGAAAUAGCGUAGAGAUCUGAAGGAAUACCAGUGGCGAAGGCGGCCCCCCUGGACAAAGACUGACGCUCAGAUGCGAAAAGCGUGGGGAGCAAACAGGAUUAGAUACCCCUGGUAG
RNAcentral lists this ribosomal RNA (293 nucleotides) under uncultured bacterium. Its description in RNAcentral is "partial 16S ribosomal RNA". It matches the Rfam family "Bacterial small subunit ribosomal RNA", at positions 515 to 793 of the family's 1533-position model. The record is from RNAcentral.